AGUGAACGCUGGCGGUAGGCCUAACACAUGCAAGUCGAACGGCAGCACAGGAGAGCUUGCUCUCUGGGUGGCGAGUGGCGGACGGGUGAGGAAUACAUCGGAAUCUACUCUGUCGUGGGGGAUAACGUAGGGAAACUUACGCUAAUACCGCAUACGACCUACGGGUGAAAGCAGGGGAUCUUCGGACCUUGCGCGAUUGAAUGAGCCGAUGUCGGAUUAGCUAGUUGGCGGGGUAAAGGCCCACCAAGGCGACGAUCCGUAGCUGGUCUGAGAGGAUGAUCAGCCACACGGGAACUGAGACACGGUCCAGCCUCCUACGGGAGGCAGCAGUGGGGGAUAUUGGACAAUGGGCGCAAGCCUGAUCCAGCCAUACCGCGUGGGUGAAGAAGGCCUUCGGGUUGUAAAGCCCUUUUGUUGGGAAAGAAAUCCAGCUGGCUAAUACCCGGUUGGGAUGACGGUACCCAAAGAAUAAGCACCGGCUAACUUCGUGCCAGCAGCCGCCGUAA
This 506-nucleotide ribosomal RNA is filed under the name uncultured bacterium. RNAcentral describes it as "partial 16S ribosomal RNA". It matches the Rfam family "Bacterial small subunit ribosomal RNA", at positions 29 to 523 of the family's 1533-position model. The record is from RNAcentral.